RNAcentral lists this long non-coding RNA (1714 nucleotides) under Homo sapiens (human). Its description in RNAcentral is "HSALNT0060733". The record is from RNAcentral. Lineage: Eukaryota; Metazoa; Chordata; Mammalia; Primates; Hominidae.
GGAGAAAUGAGGCCUCUGGGAAUGAAAGUGUGGAGUCAGCUUUGGGCAAAUGGAAAUUGAAUGGAAGGAGCAUCUCAGGAAGAAGGCUAAGAAGGCAAAACAGAGCUUGCAUUGCAGGAGGCAGACUUCAGACCAGGCUUAGGGUGAGGGAACAAAGACGUCUCAGUGCCCCGGCUGAGAAAUUGGACAAGAAAGACGGGACCCGUGCUCCCCUACAGGAGGUGGGCUGAGGGCAGAGCUGUUUGCCUGGCAGAGGAGGAGCAAACAGCCAUGUUGUAAAUGGCCUCUGAGGAGGACUGGCCUCUAGGAGUUGAGGACCUCAAGCCUACAUCUGCAAGGAAUUGAACGAUGCCAAGAACCCGAACAAACUCUGAAGAUGAGAAUGCGGCCCUGUGCCAAGACUGGCUGCCUUCCCCUGUUUCUGUACCACACUGGUUCCUGAAGCUAUUUGAGUUUGAGACUGCUGGGGUAACCUGACCCACUUCAAGGAUCUGAAAGUAUUUUACAGUUGGUUGAAUCCAUGGAUGUGGAACCCAUGGAUGUGAAGGACUGACUGUACUUUGCACUAGUGGUUCUCAAAGUGUGGGCCCUGGACCAGUGGCAGCAGCAUCACCUGGGAACUUGUGAGAAAUGCACUUUUCAGCUCCUGUUUCAGAUGGACCUAUCAGAAUCUCUGCAGGAACAUUUUGAAGUCCCCUCAUAUACAAUGAAAUGAUAGAUUUGUCAACACAGAUAAAUCUCAAAAACACAAUAAGUGAAGAAAGUAAGUUGCAGAUGGAAAUAAUAUGUGAUGGUCAAACAAUCUAGAUGUUUCCGUGAAGGUGUUUUUGGAUGAGACUAACAUUGACAUUGGUGGACUUUGAGUAAAGCAGGUUGCCUGCGUGCCAUAAUGUGGGUAUUCUCAUCCAAUCAGUUGCGGGAUUUAACAGAGCAAAGACUGAGGUCCCCUGAGAAAAUAGGAUUCCACCAGCAGACAGCCUUCAGCCUUGAACUGCAGUGUCACCUCUUCACUGGGCCUCCCAACCUGCUGACACUUUGAUCUUGGACUUCUAGCCUCCAUAACUGUGUGAGCCAAUUCCCUAAAAUAAAUCUCUCUCUGUACACAUUCUAUGGUUAUGUGGAAAUUGGGAGUUGUCCUGGAAAUUCUGACGUGACACCACCGGCCGUUUCUUGAACACCCGCUGUGUGUCGACCAGAGCCCAGAGUCUGGAAAGGAGCAGAGGAUCACCGCUGCCCAGCACCCCGCCCAUCUGAAUUCUGACUCUGGUGGCUUCAGAGAAGCAAGCAGAAGCAGUUUGCCCAGCCCUGACAUGGAAAGUUUACUUUGCUCAUCAACCUGAAGGAGACCGAAAGCUAUGAGAGGCGGCUCCUGAAAAGAAUCUAGACUCCGGAUAUAAAAAGAUCUUGCAACACAAGGCCAAGUGGAAAUCAUGGAGAAGAGAGACAGAAGGAGAGAAGAGGGGCAGGAGGAGAGAAAACACAAGAAAGAGGAUGGAAGAUAAAGAGGAAGAAGAGGAGAUUAGGACACACAGACAUCUGGAGCACGUGUGCACAGAGGGAUGAUCAUGUGAGGACACGGCAGCUAGAGGACGCCAUCUGCAAGCCAAGGAGAGAGGACUCGGGGGACUCCAACCCUAUUGGCGCCUUGAAUUUAGACUUCCAUCCUCCUGGUUUUUGAGACUAUGCAGAAGUUAUUCCAUGAGUUCCAAGCCCA